AUUUAAUUAGUAUAAAUAAAGUACAUUUAAUUUCCAAUUAAAAGGUUUUAUUAAAAUUAAAUA
This 63-nucleotide transfer RNA is filed under the name Haemaphysalis mageshimaensis. RNAcentral's name for it is "tRNA-Gly". The record is from RNAcentral. Lineage: Eukaryota; Metazoa; Arthropoda; Arachnida; Ixodida; Ixodidae.